UCUAAACUACAAAGGGUAAUACUUUUUUGGAAACCUAUGCUCUUUGGCGGCCUUUUUUCUUAUUAGAGGAACUUGUUCAUUAAUCGAAAUUACCCGUUCAUUUUCUCUUUCAAUAUUGUUUUUAUACCGUCGUCUUAAGAAUAUUGUUGAACAAAUUAUUCUAAUUUGAAUAUCCAGGUAAGUCAGAUCAAGGUGAAGCUUAUUUUAAAGUUCCGAAUGAGUUAUAUAUUAGCAUUACUAAAAGAUUUUUCUUUAAAAAGUUAAUUUGAAUUAAGAUUUAACAGUACUUAUUAAUUAAAAUGUUGUAAAGAAGAAGUGAAAAAAGGUGU
Molecule: ribosomal RNA, 329 nt
Filed under: Aname grothi
Lineage: Eukaryota; Metazoa; Arthropoda; Arachnida; Araneae; Anamidae
Description: partial small subunit ribosomal RNA
Source: RNAcentral